This 1977-nucleotide ribosomal RNA is filed under the name Triticum aestivum (bread wheat). Its description in RNAcentral is "partial small subunit ribosomal RNA". Lineage: Eukaryota; Viridiplantae; Streptophyta; Magnoliopsida; Poales; Poaceae. The record is from RNAcentral.
AUGGGCGGCAGCGCGGCGGCUGGGAAGAGCGUGGACGGCGGGGGCAGGGCGGCGCAGAGGGUGCCGGUGCCGGAGGCGCGGCCGUUCCUGGACACGUUCCGGGCCAACCUCAAGGAGACCUUCUUCCCGGACGACCCGUUCCGCGCGGUGGUGCGGGAGCGGGGCUUCGGCCGGCGCGCGGCGGCCGCGCUCCGCUACUUCUUCCCGUUCCUCGAGUGGGCGCCGGCAUACAGGCUCGGCACCUUCAAGUCGGACCUCAUCGCCGGCAUCACCAUUGCCAGCCUCGCCAUCCCGCAGGGCAUCAGCUACGCCAAGCUCGCCAACCUGCCGCCCAUCCUCGGCCUCUACUCGAGCUUCGUGCCGCCGCUGGUGUACGCGAUGAUGGGGAGCUCCAAGGACCUGGCGGUGGGGACGGUGGCGGUGGCGUCGCUGCUCAUCGCCUCCAUGCUGGGCGCCGAGGUGUCGGCCACGGAGAACCCGGCGCUCUACCUCCACCUGGCCUUCACGGCGACCUUCUUCGCCGGCGUCAUCCAGGCCUCGCUCGGCAUCCUCAGGCUGGGGUUCAUCGUGGACUUCCUGUCGCACGCGGCGAUCGUGGGGUUCAUGGGCGGCGCGGCGACGGUGGUGUGCCUGCAGCAGCUCAAGGGCAUGCUGGGGCUGGAGCACUUCACCACCUCCACCGACCUCGUCUCCGUCAUGCGCUCCGUCUUCUCCCAGACACACCAGUGGCGAUGGGAGAGCGUGGUGCUCGGCUGCGGCUUCCUCUUCUUCCUCCUCGUCACCCGCUUCUUCAGCAAGAGGCAGCCUAGGUUCUUCUGGGUAUCCGCCGCCGCGCCAUUGACGUCGGUCAUCCUUGGGAGCCUCCUGGUCUACUUCACCCAUGCUGAAAACCAUGGCGUUCAAAUUAUCGGUAAUCUGAAGAAAGGCCUGAACCCAAUCUCCGUCACAAACCUCCAGUUCACGCCGCCGUACAUGAUGCUCGCCCUCAAGACCGGCCUCAUCACCGGCGUCAUCGCCCUCGCCGAAGGGAUCGCCGUCGGCCGGAGCUUCGCCAUGUUCAAGAACUACCACAUCGACGGCAACAAGGAGAUGAUCGCCAUCGGGACGAUGAACAUCCUGGGGUCCUUCACCUCCUGCUACCUCACCACGGGGCCCUUCUCCCGGUCCGCCGUGAACUACAACGCCGGGUGCAAGACGGCCAUGUCCAACGUGGUCAUGUCGCUGGCGGUGAUGGUGACGCUCCUCUUCCUCACGCCGCUCUUCCACUACACGCCGCUGGUGGUGCUGUCGGCGAUCAUCAUGUCGGCGAUGCUGGGGCUCAUCGACUUCCCGGCCGCCGUGCACCUCUGGCACGUCGACAAGGUGGACUUCUGCGUCUGCGCGGGGGCCUACCUCGGCGUCGUCUUCGGCAGCGUCGAGAUGGGGCUGGUGGUCGCCGUGGCCAUCUCCGUGCUCCGGGUGCUGCUCUUCGUGGCCCGGCCGAGGACGACCGUGCUCGGCAACGUGCCGGACACCAACGUCUACCGGAGGAUGGACCAGUACACGACGGCGCGGGCGGUGCCCGGCGUGCUCGUGCUGCGCGUGGACUCGCCCAUCUACUUCGCCAACUCCGGCUACCUGCGCGAGAGGUUCACCCGGUGGAUCGACGAGGACGAUGAACGCACCAGCGCCAAGGGCGAGACCGGCGUGCAGUACGUCGUCCUCGACAUGGGUGCUGUGGGCAGCAUCGACACCAGCGGGACGAGCAUGCUGGACGAGCUCAAGAAGACCCUGGACAGGAGGGGGAUUCAGAUCGUGCUGGCGAACCCGGGGAGCGAGAUCAUGAAGAAGCUGGACAGCUCCAAGGUGCUGGAGCUCAUCGGCCACGAGUGGAUCUUCCCGACGGUGGGCGAGGCCGUGGCGGAGUGCGACUUCGUGCUGCACUCCCACAAGCCGGGCAUGGUGGUGGACGGUGCCUCGCAUGAGAACAUGGUCUGA